RNAcentral lists this unclassified non-coding RNA (378 nucleotides) under uncultured Chlamydiales bacterium. RNAcentral describes it as "contains 16S-23S intergenic spacer region". Lineage: Bacteria; Pseudomonadati; Chlamydiota; Chlamydiia; Chlamydiales. The record is from RNAcentral.
UCCUAGUUAACCUAGGCAGUCUCGUUAGAGUUCCCGCCAUUACGCGUUGGCAACUAACGAUAAGGGUUGCGCUCGUUGCUGGACUUAACCAAACACCUCACGGCACGAGCUGACGACAGCCAUGCAGCACCUAUAUAGAGACCCUUUCGGGAAGUCACAUCUCUGUGAUUGUCCUCUACAUUUCGAGCCCAGGUAAGGUUCUUCGCGUUGCAUCGAAUUAAACCACAUGCUCCACUGCUUGUGCGGGCCCCCGUCAAUUCUUUUGAGUUUCACCCUUGCGAGCGUACUCCCCAGGCGGCAUACUUAAUGCGUUAGCUCCGAUACAGACAGGGUUGAGCCCGCCUACAUCUAGUAUGCAUCGUUUACAGCUAGGACUAC